CCUACGGGUGACAGCAGUGAGGAAUAUUGGUCAAUGGGCGUAAGCCUGAACCAGCCAAGUCGCGUGAGGGAUGAAGGUUCUACGGAUCGUAAACCUCUUUUAUAAGGGAAUAAAGUGCGGGACGUGUCCCGUUUUGUAUGUACCUUAUGAAUAAGGAUCGGCUAACUCCGUGCCAGCAGCCGCGGUAAUACGGAGGGUCCGAGCGUUAUCCGGAUUUAUUGGGUUUAAAGGGUGCGUAGGCGGCCUUUUAAGUCAGCGGUGAAAUGCCGGGGCUCAACCCUAGCCGUGCCGUUGAAACUGGCAGGCUGGAGUUGGUGAGAAGCAGGCGGAAUGCGUGGUGUAGCGGUGAAAUGCUUAGAUAUCACGCAGAACCCCGAUUGCGAAGGCAGCUUAC
RNAcentral lists this ribosomal RNA (394 nucleotides) under uncultured bacterium. RNAcentral's name for it is "partial 16S ribosomal RNA". It matches the Rfam family "Bacterial small subunit ribosomal RNA", at positions 338 to 729 of the family's 1533-position model. The record is from RNAcentral.